Boothiomyces macroporosus is the source of this 82-nucleotide non-coding RNA. The record is from the annotation of a GenBank genome assembly. NCBI's taxonomy places the organism in Eukaryota, Fungi, Chytridiomycota, Chytridiomycetes, Rhizophydiales, Terramycetaceae.
GGGCGGAUGGCCGAGUGGUCUAAGGCGCCAGGUUUAGGCCCUGGUCUCGAAAGAGGCGCGAGUUCGAACCUCGCUUCGCUCA